RNAcentral lists this ribosomal RNA (561 nucleotides) under Ochotona curzoniae (black-lipped pika). RNAcentral describes it as "partial 16S ribosomal RNA". It matches the Rfam family "Bacterial large subunit ribosomal RNA", at positions 1809 to 2599 of the family's 2925-position model. The record is from RNAcentral. Lineage: Eukaryota; Metazoa; Chordata; Mammalia; Lagomorpha; Ochotonidae.
AAAAACAUCACCUCUAGCAUAAAAAGUAUUAGAGGCACUGCCUGCCCAGUGACAAACGUUUAACGGCCGCGGUAUCCUGACCGUGCAAAGGUAGCAUAAUCACUUGUUCCUUAAUUGGGGACUGGAAUGAAUGGCCACACGAGGAUUCAACUGUCUCUUACUUCCAAUCGGUGAAAUUGACCUUCCCGUGAAGAGGCGGGAAUGAUAUAAUAAGACGAGAAGACCCUAUGGAGCUUUAAUUUACUGACUUACCCUUAACAACUAUCAACCCUAAUGGGUCAAACAACAAGCCCUAAGUCAGUAAUUUCGGUUGGGGUGACCUCGGAGCAUAAAACAACCUCCGAAAGAUCUUAUAACCAAGACUAACAAGUCGAAGUAAUAAUAAUCCAAUUGACCCAAUUAUACUUUGAUCAACGGACCAAGUUACCCUAGGGAUAACAGCGCAAUCCUAUUCAAGAGUCCAUAUCGACAAUUAGGGUUUACGACCUCGAUGUUGGAUCAGGACAUCCCAAUGGUGUAGCAGCUAUUAAUGGUUCGUUUGUUCAACGAUUAAAGUCCUAC